CCCAGAAUCCACCCCUGAAAUCCAUCCCAGAAUCCAUUGCUGGGAUCCAUCCCAGGGAUCCUUCCCAGGAAUCCACCCCUGGAACCCACCCCAGGAUCCACCCCAGGGAUCCACCCCAGGAAUCCACCCCAGGAUCCAUUCCAGGGAUCCAUCCCAGGAAUCCACCCUAGGAUCCACCCCUGGAACCCAUCCCAGGAAUCCACCCCAGGAUCCAUCCCAGGGAUCCAUCCCAGGAAUCCAUCACUGGGAUCCAUCCCAGGAAUCCACCCCAGGAUCCAUUCCAGGGAUCCAUUCCAAAAUCCACCCCAGGAUCCAUCCCAGGGAUCCACCCCAGAAUCCAUCCCAGGAAUCCAUCGCUGGGAUCCACCCCAGGGAUCCACCCCAGGAAUCCACCCCUGGAACCCAUCCCAGGAACCCAUCCCAGGAAUCCACCCCAGGAAUCCACCCCAGGAAUCCAUCCCAGGAAUCCAUCCCAAAAUCCACCCCAGGAUCCAUUCCAGGGAUCCACCCCAGAAUCCAUCCCAGGAAUCCAUCGCUGGGAUCCACCCCAGAAUCCACCCCAGGAUCCACCCCAGGAUCCACCCACACCACCCGCCACGGUUGCUAAAAGAAUAAACAACAAAACCACAAACA
RNAcentral lists this long non-coding RNA (633 nucleotides) under Parus major (Great Tit). Its description in RNAcentral is "lncRNA (ENSPMJG00000007218.1)". The record is from RNAcentral. Lineage: Eukaryota; Metazoa; Chordata; Aves; Passeriformes; Paridae.